This 435-nucleotide ribosomal RNA is filed under the name uncultured Flavobacterium sp. Its description in RNAcentral is "bacterial SSU rRNA". It matches the Rfam family "Bacterial small subunit ribosomal RNA", at positions 358 to 790 of the family's 1533-position model. Lineage: Bacteria; Pseudomonadati; Bacteroidota; Flavobacteriia; Flavobacteriales; Flavobacteriaceae. The record is from RNAcentral.
GGAAUAUUGGUCAAUGGACGCAAGUCUGAACCAGCCAUGCCGCGUGCAGGAUGACGGUCCUAUGGAUUGUAAACUGCUUUUGCACAGGAAGAAACCACUCUACGUGUAGAGUCUUGACGGUACUGUGAGAAUAAGGAUCGGCUAACUCCGUGCCAGCAGCCGCGGUAAUACGGAGGAUCCAAGCGUUAUCCGGAAUCAUUGGGUUUAAAGGGUCCGUAGGCGGUUUAGUAAGUCAGUGGUGAAAGCCCAUCGCUCAACGGUGGAACGGCCAUUGAUACUGCUAAACUUGAAUUAUUAGGAAGUAACUAGAAUAUGUAGUGUAGCGGUGAAAUGCUUAGAGAUUACAUGGAAUACCAAUUGCGAAGGCAGGUUACUACUAAUGGAUUGACGCUGAUGGACGAGAGCGUGGGUAGCGAACAGGAUUAGAUACCCGUG